RNAcentral lists this transfer RNA (73 nucleotides) under Stegodyphus mimosarum. It matches the Rfam family "tRNA". From Rfam's summary of the family: Transfer RNA (tRNA) molecules are approximately 80 nucleotides in length. Their secondary structure includes four short double-helical elements and three loops (D, anti-codon, and T loops). Further hydrogen bonds mediate the characteristic L-shaped molecular structure. tRNAs have two regions of fundamental functional importance: the anti-codon, which is responsible for specific mRNA codon recognition, and the 3' end, to which the tRNAs corresponding amino acid is attached (by aminoacyl-tRNA synthetases). tRNAs cope with the degeneracy of the genetic code in two manners: having more than one tRNA (with a specific anti-codon) for a particular amino acid; and 'wobble' base-pairing, i.e. permitting non-standard base-pairing at the 3rd anti-codon position. The record is from Rfam by way of RNAcentral. Lineage: Eukaryota; Metazoa; Arthropoda; Arachnida; Araneae; Eresidae.
UCCUUCGUGGUGUAGUGGUCAGCACGCUCGAUGAGUAUUCGAGAGGUCCGUGGUUCGAGUCUCGGCGAAAGCA